UGGGGAAUCUUCCGCAAUGGACGAAAGUCUGACGGAGCAACGCCGCGUGAGUGAAGAAGGUUUUCGGAUCGUAAAACUCUGUCUUUUGGGGCGAACGUGAGUAUGGUGAACAAUCAUAGUCAGUGACGGUACCAAAGGAGGAAGCCACGGCUAACCACGUGCCAGCAGCCGCGGUAAUACGUAGGUGGCAAGCGUUGUCCGGAAUUAUUGGGCGUAAAGAGCGCGUAGGCGGGAUAGUCAGUCUGUUGUAAAAGUGCGGGGCUCAACCCCGUGAUGGCAAUGGAAACAGCUAUUCUUGAGUGCAGGAGAGGAAAGUGGAAUUCCCAGUGUAGCGGUGAAAUGCGUAGAUAUUGGGAGGAACACCAGUGGCGAAGGCGACUUUCUGGACUGUGUCUGACGCUGAGGCGCGAAAGCCAGGGGAGCGAACGGGAUUAGAUACCCCGGUAGUCCUGGCCGUAAACGAUGGGUACUAGGUGUGGGAGGUAUCGACCCCUUCCGUGCCGGAGUUAACGCAAUAAGUACCCCGCCUGGGGAGUACGGUCGCAAGACUGAAACUUAAAUGAAUUGACGGGGUCAUAGCU
This 581-nucleotide ribosomal RNA is filed under the name uncultured bacterium. RNAcentral's name for it is "partial 16S ribosomal RNA". It matches the Rfam family "Bacterial small subunit ribosomal RNA", at positions 355 to 926 of the family's 1533-position model. The record is from RNAcentral.